This 1729-nucleotide ribosomal RNA is filed under the name Aphrocallistes beatrix. RNAcentral's name for it is "large subunit ribosomal RNA". The stretch from base 1175 to 1582 matches the Rfam family "Bacterial large subunit ribosomal RNA", at positions 2072 to 2648 of the family's 2925-position model. Lineage: Eukaryota; Metazoa; Porifera; Hexactinellida; Sceptrulophora; Aphrocallistidae. The record is from RNAcentral.
ACCCUUAAUAGAACUUUUUGAAAACUAAUUACAACAUAAAAACAUAAUUUAAAUACAAAAUUUUAAAAGAAAUUAAAUCAUUACCUUAUAAAAAAUAUAAAUGAUCUUGUACGUAAUAGAGAAUGAUAACAGAAAUAAAAUAAUAAUAAAUUUACAAACAAAUAGAAAGACUCAAAAACGGAAACUCCCCACUAACCACACAAAAGUAUCUAUACAAAAAGUACUAAGAAGGAAAUUAAUAAAAAAUCUAAAAAUCCUAUAUGUAAUCAAUACUAUUCCUUUUGCAUCAGGAGCUUACCAGAAAUAACAUAAAUAAUAUAAAAUUAUAAAAUAACAUACUAAUUAAGAAAUUUAUAACCCCCGAAAUCUUGUGAUCUAACUACAGACAGUCUAAAAGGACGAAUUAAUAAAUGUUACAAUAUUUUUAAAUGAACUGUAACUAGAAAUAAAAAAUUAAACAAACAAGAAUAUAUCUGGUUUUCAACGAAACAUAUUAAAGUAUUACUAAUAAACAUAAACCGCCAUUAUCUUUAAAAUAACUAUAAACAGACUUUUUGUGAAAAGAUUAUAAGUCAAAAUGGAAACAGCCAUACUCUACAUCUAAAAUCACAAAAUUUAUAACAAAAGAAAAUAUUAGCCUCAAGACAAAUAAAAGUUGACCUAAAAACAGUCAUCUUCUAACAAAAACGUAAUAGUCUAUAACAAAUAAAUGCUAAUAAAAAAUUCAUGAAUUAAUAAUAACAUAUUAAAUAUUAGAAGAAAAAAGAAAUAGUUGAAUAAUUAAUAAUAUCACUAAACUAACAAUGUAAGCACUAGUAACUUCAUAACACACCCAAGGGGGGAAAACCGGAACUUACUUCAAUAACUUUACCGUCCCUUAAUCCAACACAGGUGGGAAAAUCCAACUAAAAACUUCUUAAGGAAUUAGGCAAACAAAAGUUCGACUGUUUACCAAAAACAUAGCUAUAAGAACAAAUUAUAAAUAGUGACGCCUGCUCAAUGAUUGAGUAAUAACCCAUAAAAACAAUUCAAUAGCUGCGGUAAUACCUGACCGUACAAAGGUAGCACAACAAAUAGCCUAAUAAUUACAGGAUCGCAUGAAGGCAAAACGAAACUUUAACUGUCUCAAGAAAUCCAAAACUAAAAUAGAAUGUAUGUGAAAAUCCACACUCAAGCGGCAAGACGACAAGACCCUAAAAACUUUACCAAAAGUUUUAAAUAAUAAACCAAUAACGUUAUCACUUACUAAAUAACAAUAAACUUAAAACUAAAGUUUCGUUGGGGCAACGAUCUCAAAAAUAAUAAAUAAGAUUUAUACAAUCCUCUAACCUAUAGACCAAUAAGUUAACACCUAGAUAAGACCCAUUAAACACUACAAGUUAAUGAACAUAAAAUAAAAGCUCUUUAGGGAUAACAGCGUAAUAUUGUUAACAAAGAUCCACUCAAACAAUGUUUGCGACCUCGAUGUUGAAUUGCUAUACCCAUAAUGUAGCCACAUUAAAAGGUUGGACUGUCCUUCCAUUUAAAUAGCCCAUGAUUUGAGUUCAGACCGAGGCAACUCAGGUCAGAUUCUAUCUACCGCCAUAACUCAAAUAAAGCCCAAGUACGAAAGGAAAACACUUUAAAACAAAUAGUAAACAAUUACCACGAUAAAAAUAACUAAAAUUAUAAAUUCAAAUAUUUAAGCCCAUAAAAACAUCGCUAAAAUAGAAAAAAGAAAUAAAAUAAU